Molecule: ribosomal RNA, 328 nt
Filed under: uncultured eukaryote
Lineage: Eukaryota
Description: partial 18S ribosomal RNA
Rfam family: Eukaryotic small subunit ribosomal RNA
Source: RNAcentral
CCCUUAGAUGUUCUGGGCCGCACGCGCGCUACAAUGAUGAAUUCAACGAGUUUAUAACCUUGGUUGAAAAGCCUGGGUAAUCUUUUGAACUUUCGUCGUGAUGGGGCUAGACCCUUGCAAUUAUUGGUCUCCAACGAGGAAUUCCUAGUAAACGCAAGUCAUCAGCUUGCAUUGAUUACGUCCCUGCCCUUUGUACACACCGCCCGUCGCACCUACCGAUUGAAUGGUCCGGUGAAGCCUCGGGAUUGUGGUUCUUGCCGCUUUAUUGUGGCGUGACCGCGAGAACUUGUCUAAACCUUAUCAUCUAGAGGAAGGUGAAGUCGUAACA